Microplitis mediator is the source of this 1734-nucleotide long non-coding RNA. RefSeq lists it as uncharacterized. The transcript has 3 exons. The record is from RefSeq and is a predicted model, not a curated record. Lineage: Eukaryota; Metazoa; Arthropoda; Insecta; Hymenoptera; Braconidae.
ACAGUAAAUACCGCGUCGUUAAAUAACUCUCUUAAUCAAUUAAAUCAAUUACCAAGCUUCGACCACCAGAAUUUUGAAAAAAUCAUGUCACGAUUUACGUCUUUAGUUUUAUUAUUUUUGCAAUUGUUAAUUUUUUUAAAUAAUCUCUAUGAUUAUAAAGUUCAAGGUCUACACUGGGUAGAAAUACAAGUUCCAAUCAGCAGCUAUGGCUCGACUAUAGGAGUAUUGGGGGUGCGUGUUACGCCUACAGAUGGUGGCAGAUAAAUCCUACACAGAAAAAAAAGUUGACUUGAUUCAAGUGUAAUAUUCAUGAAGCAAGAAUACUAGUUUGAAAAAUUCUAUUUCUUUUGUUUGAAAAAUUUAUUUCUUGGCUCAAGGAGUUUCAACACAGCGUAUUUGGUUGUUUUUUGCGAUUAGUUGUAGUUAGUUUUGAAUUGUAAGUUCGACGAUAGUACCAAAAAACGUCUCUGGACCAUACGACAGAAAUUCGUUUCAGAAAAAAAUACAGUUAAUUGGUGGUAUCGACAUUUAAUCCAUUUUUCCACCCAAUCUGGACUUUGAAAAAAUCCAUUUGUUUAUAACAAUAGUUAACAAAAAAAAAAACGUCUUUUGAUGAUACGACAGAAAUUCGUGUCAGAAAAAAUGCAGUCGAUUGGUACUAUCGACAUUUAAUCGAUUUUCUUUUUUCUGUCAUUUUUAAUAUAAGAAAAUUAAAAAAAUUACGGCUUAUCAAGCAUCUGACGUGAUUUGACGGAGAGAGAGCUCGCGCAUAGGCAGCUGCUAGUGCGAGAGGGAGAGGUCCGAGCGCCGGCUCGUUUUUUUAUUAUAUCUCGCGAAAUAUUUGAGAUACAAAAAAAACAUUCGAAACUUUUUUUGUGUAUUUUUUCAUUCUGAACAUUUUGUUUUCUGUACACUGCCUCAAAAAACCAGCCGUUCGGUAGUUAUUUCGAUUUAAACAAUUAAAUUGUUAUUAACAAUUGUUUGCACCACUUUUGAACAAAAUGGACCCGAUUUUCGUGAUCCUUGGCUCAAAAUACGUAAAAAACGGUUGGAUUUACUCGGUGCCAACAAAACGUAUACGGGCUCUCCUCUUCAGCCGAAGGACUACCCAUACUUCGCAUUCGAGGCGUGCAAUUAUACAUCAGUAAUUAGCAAGUGGCCUGAAUAAAAAGGGCAGUCAAGAAAAAAAAUUGCAAGUUUUUUUAGAUAUAAAAUAAGUUAUUUAUUACUGUAAUAUUUAUAUAAUACAAUUAAUUUUUUUUUUUACAAAUACUGAAAUUAUUCAAUUAAAAUAUAUUAAACUAAUAAUUAAUAAUUAAUUUUAUAUUUCUUUAUUUCUAUCAUAAUAAAAUGAAUAUUUGUUAACUGUGUUCGUAUAUUAGCAGGUAAAAUUUUGUGUAACCGUUGAUAAUAUUCAACAAGUUGUGUCAUUGUUCGUUGUACAAGUGCGCCGCCAAGUACCAAAUUUGGAAAUGAUUUUAAUAUUUCAUUAUUUAUUUGUUCGAGUGAUUGUUUCCAAUUGUUUGUAAAUGAUUGUACCAAAUCAAUAGCACGUGAUUCAUGACGUUUCAACUCAUCAGUUAAACCCUUUUCAAUCAAUGUCUCUGAUUCUUUAACUAAUUGAAUAAUGCCACCAAAGUGAGGUGACAAUAUUUCUUCAACAUAUUCUGAUGAUUUAGCAUUCAAUUGUUCUUUAAAACUUUCAGCUUCUUUGCAAUUAUCACGCGUUCGUUC